GAUGAACGCUGGCGGCGUGCCUAAUACAUGCAAGUCGAGCGAACAGAUGAGGAGCUUGCUCCUCUGACGUUAGCGGCGGACGGGUGAGUAACACGUGGAUAACCUACCUAUAAGACUGGAUAACUUCGGGAAACCGGAGCUAAUACCGGAUAAUAUAUUGAACCGCAUGGUUCAAUAGUGAAAGACGGUUUUGCUGUCACUUAUAGAUGGAUCCGCGCCGCAUUAGCUAGUUGGUAAGGUAACGGCUUACCAAGGCGACGAUGCGUAGCCGACCUGAGAGGGUGAUCGGCCACACUGGAACUGAGACACGGUCCAGACUCCUACGGGAGGCAGCAGUAGGGAAUCUUCCGCAAUGGGCGAAAGCCUGACGGAGCAACGCCGCGUGAGUGAUGAAGGUCUUCGGAUCGUAAAACUCUGUUAUUAGGGAAGAACAAAUGUGUAAGUAACUAUGCACGUCUUGACGGUACCUAAUCAGAAAGCCACGGCUAACUACGUG
This 496-nucleotide ribosomal RNA is filed under the name uncultured bacterium. Its description in RNAcentral is "partial 16S ribosomal RNA". It matches the Rfam family "Bacterial small subunit ribosomal RNA", at positions 28 to 507 of the family's 1533-position model. The record is from RNAcentral.